GAGGGUAUAGCUCAAGUGGUAGCGCACGUGCUUAGCAUGCACGAGGUCCUGGGUUCAAUCCCCAGCACCUCCU
Molecule: transfer RNA, 73 nt
Filed under: Camelus bactrianus (Bactrian camel)
Lineage: Eukaryota; Metazoa; Chordata; Mammalia; Artiodactyla; Camelidae
Also listed under: 1 other name
Rfam family: tRNA
About the family: Transfer RNA (tRNA) molecules are approximately 80 nucleotides in length. Their secondary structure includes four short double-helical elements and three loops (D, anti-codon, and T loops).
Source: Rfam by way of RNAcentral